This 301-nucleotide small RNA is filed under the name uncultured bacterium. Its description in RNAcentral is "bacterial SSU rRNA". It matches the Rfam family "Bacterial small subunit ribosomal RNA", at positions 65 to 358 of the family's 1533-position model. The record is from RNAcentral.
CGAAUCUCGAGGGGCUUGCCCCUUGAGAUUAUCGCCGGACGGGUGAGUAACACGUGGGCAACCUGCCUAUAAGACUGGGAUAACUUCGGGAAACCGGAGCUAAUACCGGAUCAUUCUUUUCUACACAUGUAGAAAAGCUGAAAGACGGUUUACGCUGUCACUUAUAGAUGGGCCCGCGGCGCAUUAGCUAGUUGGUGAGGUAACGGCUCACCAAGGCCACGAUGCGUAGCCGACCUGAGAGGGUGAUCGGCCACACUGGGACUGAGACACGGCCCAGACUCCUACGGGAGGCAGCAGUGGG